Molecule: ribosomal RNA, 498 nt
Filed under: uncultured bacterium
Lineage: Bacteria
Description: bacterial SSU rRNA
Rfam family: Bacterial small subunit ribosomal RNA
Source: RNAcentral
GACGAACGCUGGCGGCGUGCCUAACACAUGCAAGUCGAACGAAGCCUUUUCUGGAACCCUUCGGGGGGAAGGACGAGUGACUGAGUGGCGGACGGGUGAGUAACGCGUGAGCAACCUGCCCUUCAGAGCGGAAUAGCGUCUGGAAACGGACGGUAAUACCGCAUGAUAUACCGAAACCGCAUGGUAUUGGUAUCAAAGAUUAAUCGCUGAAGGAUGGGCUCGCGUUGGAUUAGAUAGUUGGUGGGGUAACGGCCCACCAAGUCAACGAUCCAUAGCCGGACUGAGAGGUUGAACGGCCACAUUGGGACUGAGACACGGCCCAGACUCCUACGGGAGGCAGCAGUGGGGGAUAUUGCACAAUGGGCGCAAGCCUGAUGCAGCAACGCCGCGUGAAGGAAGACGGUUUUCGGAUUGUAAACUUCUGUUCUUGGUGAAGAAAAUUGACGGUAGCCAAGGAGCAAGCCACGGCUAACUACGUGCCAGCCGCCGCCGUAACAC